This 68-nucleotide transfer RNA is filed under the name Balanoglossus clavigerus. Its description in RNAcentral is "transfer RNA-Ser(AGY)". The record is from RNAcentral. Lineage: Eukaryota; Metazoa; Hemichordata; Enteropneusta; Ptychoderidae.
GAGAACCAUGGGAUGCAAUGAAACUGCUAAUUUCUAUCUGCUUGCGGCUCGACUCCGUAAGAUUCUCG